CACUGCGCCGCGAGCACGAACACAGGUUGAGCCACCUCCGCCGCUGCAAGUGAACAUGUAGGCGCGGCUGAUUCAGCGGUCAGCGUGCUGACUGCCACCGCCGCCACUACAUGGGCACGCAAGCCUGCAGGCACCGACCACCACCGGCGACACGACCUCGAAGAUACGCAGGCUGGCGCGGGCACCACCGCUCCGAAGGCUGGCUGGCGCGCUAGCAGCCGCCGCAGCCUCGGAGGUAGGUAGGCACGACCGCCACCACCUCAAGUUUGCACGAACCGAAAAUAGGAAGGAAAGGGGAAAAAAAGGUAAAAGGAUGGGAAACCCUAAAAACACCCUAGAUGGUUAAAUGGGCCUCUUUGGACCAAAAAUUGGAUGUCUAAUCCACUGUUAAUUAUUUGUUUUUCCUUCUACCUCUUGAAUUAUAUAAAAUUCAAGAACAACCAUGAAA
RNAcentral lists this long non-coding RNA (448 nucleotides) under Zea mays. Its description in RNAcentral is "long non-coding RNA NONZMAT002584". Lineage: Eukaryota; Viridiplantae; Streptophyta; Magnoliopsida; Poales; Poaceae. The record is from RNAcentral.